UUUCCGGUUGACCUGCCGGAGGUCAUUGCUAUCGGAGUCCGAUUUAGCCAUGCUAGUCGUGCGAGUUCACACUCGCGGCACCGAGCUCAGUAACACGUGGCCAAACUACCCUACAGAGACGGAUACCCUCGGGAAACUGAGGCUAACCUGUCAUACCGAUCUCAGGCUUGAAUCGCAGAGAUCACUAAAUGCCCCGGCGCUGUAGGAUGUGGCUGCGGUUGAUUAGGUUGACGGUGGGGUAACGGCCCACCGUGCCCAUAAUCAGUACAGGUUGUGAGAGCAAGAACCUGGAGACGGAAUCUGAGACAAGAUUCCGGGCCCUACGGGGCGCAGCAGGCGCGAAACCUUUACACUGCACGCACGUGCGAUAAGGGGACUCCGAGUGCGAGGGCAUAUCGUCCUCGCUUUCGUGUACCGUAGGGUGGUACACCAACAAGGGCUGGGCAAGACCGGUGCCAGCCGCCGCG
Molecule: ribosomal RNA, 467 nt
Filed under: uncultured archaeon
Lineage: Archaea
Description: bacterial SSU rRNA
Rfam family: Archaeal small subunit ribosomal RNA
Source: RNAcentral